Molecule: unclassified non-coding RNA, 2970 nt
Filed under: Drosophila virilis
Lineage: Eukaryota; Metazoa; Arthropoda; Insecta; Diptera; Drosophilidae
Description: GJ14381
Source: RNAcentral
UCGAAAAGCAAAUGCAAAACUAUUAAAACUAAAAUUAGCCAUGCAAUAAAAAUUACUCGCAAGAAAAACUCAAUCAGCGAUCAGAUCAGAUGACACAUCUAUUCACUGGGGGUCAGCCCCGCCCCGCGACGGUCCACUGGGUCAUUUGGCUGAUUUCUCUGUGCGCCUUCACAAGUCUGUUGGACAUCUGUCGAGCCGAGCGUACCAAUGUGGGUCUUAUUUAUGAAAACACUAACCCCGAUCUUGAGAAAAUUUUCCACUUGGCCAUUGGCAAGGCGAAUGAGGAGAAUGAAGAACUUAAGCUCCAUGGCGUGGCCGUGGCCAUUGAGCCGAGCAAUGCUUUUGAGACCUCCAAGAAAUUAUGCAAAAUGCUAAGGCAAAAUUUGGUGGCAGUCUUUGGACCCACGACAAAUCGAGCGGCUCGUCACGCACUGAGCAUUUGCGAUGCCAAGGAGCUACCUUUUCUGGACACACGCUGGGACUUUGGUGCCCAGUUGCCCACCAUCAACCUGCAUCCGCAUCCAGCGCAAUUGGGGGCUGCGCUCAAAGAUUUGGUUACUGCCCUAGGAUGGGAGAGCUUCACCAUCAUCUACGAGUCGGGAGAGUAUCUGGUCACAGUCAAUGAGCUGUUGCAGAUGUAUGGCACAGCUGGUCCUACCAUAACACUUCGUCGCUAUGAUCUAGAUCUCAAUGGCAACUAUCGCAAUGUGCUGCGGCGCAUACGCAACUCCGAGGACGAUUCAUUUGUGGUGGUUGGAUCGAUAGAAACGCUACCUGAGUUCUUUAAGCAGGCGCAGCAAACAGGCCUGCUUACCAGCGACUAUCGCUAUAUCAUUGGGAAUCUUGAUUGGCACACCAUGGAUCUGGAGCCCUAUCAGCAUGCCGAUUCCAACAUUACCGGGUUGCGCUUCGUUUCACCAGAGAACGGGCAGGUACUGGAGGUGGCUAAGGCAUUGUACGAGAGUGAAGAGCCAUUUCAAAAUGUAUCGUGUCCUCUGACCAACAGCAUGGCCCUCAUCUACGACGGCAUUCAGUUGCUGGCCGAGACAUACAAACAUGUUAACUACCGACCCAUGCCCCUGAGCUGUGGGGACGACAGUGCCUGGGACAAGGGCUACACGCUCGUCAACUAUAUGAAGUCGUUGUCGCUCAACGGCCUCACGGGCCCCAUUCACUUUGACUACGAGGGACUGCGCACGGAUUUCCAGUUGGAGGUCAUCGAGCUGGGCGUCUCGGGCAUGCAGCAAAUUGGGCAGUGGAGCACUGAGGCCGGCUUUGAAAUGAAUCGUCCCGCACCAGCACAUACCCUCGAGCCAGAUAUGCGCUCGCUGAUGAAUAAGAGCUUUGUGGUAGUCACGGCCAUUAGUGAACCCUAUGGCAUGCUGAAGGAAACCGCCGAAAAGCUGGAGGGCAACGCUCAGUUCGAAGGAUUUGGCAUUGAAUUGAUUGAUGAGCUCUCGAAGAAGCUUGGCUUCAGCUACACCUUUUAUUUGCAGCCGGACAAUAAAUAUGGUGGCAUAGAUCCCAAAACUGGCGAAUGGAAUGGCAUGCUACGCGAAAUAAUAGACAACCGCGCUGACAUGGGCAUAACUGAUUUGACCAUGACAUCGGAGCGGGAGAGCGGUGUGGACUUCACGAUUCCCUUCAUGAAUCUGGGCAUUGCAAUUUUAUUUCGCAAGCCGAUGAAGGAGCCCCCCAAGCUGUUCUCGUUUAUGUCGCCCUUUUCCGGCGAGGUUUGGCUUUGGCUGGGUCUCGCUUACUUGGGCGUAUCCAUCAGCAUGUUUGUUCUGGGCCGCAUGUCGCCAGCCGAAUGGGACAAUCCAUAUCCUUGUAUAGAGGAGCCCACCGAGCUGGAGAAUCAAUUUAGCUUUGCCAAUUGCUUAUGGUUCUCAAUUGGUGCUCUGCUGCAGCAAGGAUCCGAGCUGGCUCCCAAAGCGUUCUCUACGCGUGCCGUAGCAUCUUCUUGGUGGUUCUUUACGCUGAUUUUAGUUUCCUCCUAUACGGCGAACCUUGCCGCCUUUCUCACUGUCGAAUCGCUCGUGACGCCAAUAGAGGAUGCCGAAGACUUGUCGGAGAAUAAAGGCGGUGUCAAUUAUGGUGCGAAAAAUGGUGGCAGCACCUUUACCUUCUUUAAAGACGCAAAAUUUCCCACGUACCAGAAAAUGUACGAGUUCAUGAAAGACAACCCCCAAUAUAUGACGAAUUCAAAUCAAGAAGGCGUCGAUCGCGUCGAGAAUAGCAAUUAUGCAUUCCUCAUGGAGUCCACAACAAUUGAGUACAUCACAGAACGGCGUUGCACACUGACCCAGGUCGGGGCACUCCUAGAUGAGAAGGGCUACGGGAUUGCCAUGCGAAAGAAUUGGCCUUACCGCGACGUCUUGAGCCAGGCGAUACUAGAGCUGCAGGAGCAGGGUGUGCUAACCAAAAUGAAGACCAAGUGGUGGAAGGAGAAGCGUGGCGGUGGCGCCUGCUCGGAGGUUGCGGAUUCGGAUGCCUCCUCGUUGGGCUUUGCGAAUUUGGGUGGCGUGUAUCUGGUCAUGUUCGUGGGCAGCUGCUUUGCCAGUAUUUAUGGCCUGAUUAACUGCUUGCUCAGCAUCUACUGGACCGCGCGAGAGAACAAGCUAUCCAGCUCCUCCGACGCGUUGGAAGAAACGCUUUUGUGUCGUGACUAAAAAUGGGCAUGGGCAUAAAGGUCAAUUGUGACUUAAAUAACGAAUAUUUUUCAACAGCUUGUACAUCGAUUUAUGGGAAACUCGAACUUUAAAUAACAAUCAUAUCUUUGACUAGUUAUGCGAUAUGCUUUGCAUGGCAGCUUACCAUAAUCAAUGCAUGCCCACCUUUGCCAAAGUUGACCUAAAUAUUAAAGGAGCUUCGUACAUUCCUAGGUCAACUUCAAGGACGAACUUCUGGAUGAAUUGCGCUUUAUUAUACAAUGUUCGGGAAACACUAAGGCGGUUAAGUAUCCCAAGG